This 401-nucleotide ribosomal RNA is filed under the name uncultured Enterobacterales bacterium. Its description in RNAcentral is "bacterial SSU rRNA". It matches the Rfam family "Bacterial small subunit ribosomal RNA", at positions 975 to 1375 of the family's 1533-position model. Lineage: Bacteria; Pseudomonadati; Pseudomonadota; Gammaproteobacteria; Enterobacterales. The record is from RNAcentral.
CUACUCUUGACAUCCAGAGAAUUCGCUAGAGAUAGCUUAGUGCCUUCGGGAACUCUGAGACAGGUGCUGCAUGGCUGUCGUCAGCUCGUGUUGUGAAAUGUUGGGUUAAGUCCCGCAACGAGCGCAACCCUUAUCCUUUGUUGCCAGCGAGUAAUGUCGGGAACUCAAAGGAGACUGCCGGUGACAAACCGGAGGAAGGUGGGGAUGACGUCAAGUCAUCAUGGCCCUUACGAGUAGGGCUACACACGUGCUACAAUGGCAUAUACAAAGAGAAGCGAACUCGCGAGAGCAAGCGGACCUCACAAAGUAUGUCGUAGUCCGGAUCGGAGUCUGCAACUCGACUCCGUGAAGUCGGAAUCGCUAGUAAUCGUAGAUCAGAAUGCUACGGUGAAUACGUUCCC